CUGAGACAGAGGAAUGGAAGAGCUAGCCUCCCUAGGGUUGUGCUGGAACUGUUUCUGAAGUACUUUUUCUUUUCUCAUUAGUCUUCUGCUUCUACAUCACAAGAAACGAAUACGUUAUAUUCAGUAGUACAGCCUUCCCGGAAGUCUGUAUCUAAGAAGAGGAACCACAGCCCUCCCUUCAACCUCACCAUCUAUGAGGAGUUUGGAAAGAGAUGUUGCAAAGCAAAUGACCCUGCCUGGCUGAACCGCAAAGAGCUGGGUAGCUCUGACCUCUAUUCCUGAUCGCCUCUCUCACACACCAGCAUCUGCUCUGGGGAUCCGCACAAGGGAUGAUGCCACAUGAAUCUCUUGGAAACAGUAUCUAGUCUGGAAAGGAUACAGAAAUUUGCUUACAGUCUAUAUUUUGAUUUGAAAAUGAAUGAUUUCUAACAGGCACUGUAAGAGCAAGGUUGUUACAUAACAUCUCACAAUUUAGAGACAAGAAUGAGUGGAGAGGUUGGAUUGGUCACAUUCUGAGUCUUUAGAAUCUACAAAGUGCUGCAUAAAUGUAGGGAAGGGAUUCCAUUCCCCUGGUUUUCUAACCUGUUAUUUGUUUCCCCACCAUAUUGAUCUGGGAUAACCACAUUUUUGGUCUCCUCACCCCUCCAUGCCUCAGACUCCCCUUCC
RNAcentral lists this long non-coding RNA (666 nucleotides) under Castor canadensis (American beaver). RNAcentral's name for it is "lncRNA (ENSCCNG00000013287.1)". The record is from RNAcentral. Lineage: Eukaryota; Metazoa; Chordata; Mammalia; Rodentia; Castoridae.